UGUUAUAAACCAUCUUGUCAGUGGAUGGGCACCACUUGAAAACCUUUUCUAUUAAAUUAUACGCCUUUUUAUUGCUUAAAAUAUUAAACUGUGACGAUGUUUGUAUUAGCCUACUGAUCCGGGGACUAAUACAGGGGAUCAGCGGGACUCCCAGAGGGAGGUCCCCACAUGUGUGCUGUAUAAACCGGUGGUGAAAAGCACCAUCACCACCGGUUUAUCUUACGAGCUAGUGUGAUAACUAUCACCAUCAUCGCCAGCUUGUAACACAAACCAGCAAUGAUGUCCAAGAGUUCGAACCCGAAAUUUUUAUACACCUUGGUUGAUAGACACAACUUCCGUCUGCCUACCUCCCCACCCUCGGGCCCUAUCCCCUCCAUUUCUUCACCCUGCUCAGAGCUCUCCCUCUACCUUAUCUUUCUCCCCUUUGCUGCCUUAUCUUCCCCAUGCCGUUGUUCUCCCUCCACCUUAUCUUCCUCCCCUGGGCUUUAUCUUCCUCUGCCUCUCUCCUCUAAGAGCUCUCCCUCCCUUUGCUGCCCCUCCCCCCCUUUCCU
RNAcentral lists this long non-coding RNA (551 nucleotides) under Setaria viridis. Its description in RNAcentral is "long non-coding RNA (SVIR_LNC008186)". The record is from RNAcentral. Lineage: Eukaryota; Viridiplantae; Streptophyta; Magnoliopsida; Poales; Poaceae.